UAUUCUCUUUUCUUUUCCCCUACCGAACUCGACUUCUUCCACGACCCAGAUCUGGCUGCUACCACGUCGAUCUGGGGCUGCAGGCGACCUCCAACUCCAGGUGCAGCUCGCCGCUAGGAAAGAUGACGUCGAGCCACUACCGAGACUGAUUGGAGGAGCUCUAGCCGGCCGAGCUCGCAUCGAGGCGCUCCCGCUGAACGGGACAUGUAGGCAGGUAGAGCCGUAGAGGAAACCGGCUCGAUUGGGAGCUGCCAAGGCUCGACGAGGUGGCCUUUGCGUCUUUGGUUGUGCUCCAGGAUGGCGACGUGGCUAUGGAGGUGUCCAGGCGCCGGAGAUCGGCCGGCGGCAUAUCCAGAUGUCAGGGCGGCAGGGUGCGGACGUUUGUGUUCGUAAUACAGUCGGUAUUGGCCGGGAACCGAUGCAAACGCAGGCGGGCAGGUAUAGCCACGAGGAACCGGUCCGAGCUAGCGUCGUCUCGCCGGAAUUUUGUCGGCUGCGGAGGUGAUCUGCAAGGGACAUAGAGAAUGACGGCUCGUUUAGGAGACAUAGAGAAUCGGGGCAGGCGCGACCAGUUGUGGAGGAAGGCACAAAACCUUCACUGCUGUCGAAAUUGUUGUCUGCAAAGACUGAAGAUGGGGCAGUCGGAGAUGAGUAUUCACGAGUCUGCGCACUCUGCAUCUCAGCACGCAUGUGUGCCCUCCUUCCACCAAUUUUUUUAGCAGGGUAAAAUCGAUUUCCGAGCUCUUGCAUGUAUUCAACUAUUCCAAAUUGUAAUUUAGUUCAAAAGCUUCACUAUUUGUGGAGAUGGUGCUCCAGGUGAGGAUCGACCGAGUAGUUGGAGUGGAGGGAUGUGACCUGCACAUGCGGGAGAGGGAGGUGCUGACUGCUGACCCUGUUCUCCAUUAUUGCGCUCAGCUCGACAAUGAUUUGUGUUGUGUUCGUGGAGGCUAUGCUAAUACUCAUCUUCUAGAUGCAAGGGUGGACUUCAGAUGAGGUACUAAUACCCAAAUUAUAGACUUCAGACCAGAUUUUCUGGUAGCUCGGAUGUAAGGUUUCAGUCUGUAGAUGAACUAUGCUAGAGUGUACUUUUAUUUCGAUGAGAAACUGCAUGUUCAGACUCCAUGGCCAUAUAUCCUCCAAUCUCCUCAAACUGGCAUUGAUUUAAAGAGCAUGAAGAUCGGCCGGACUAGGAUGUGGCUGAGCAAAUUCAUCAAUGGAGUUUACUAAGGACGAUGGCAGCUGAGUGUCCCGGGCGAUAUAUGAUUUUUCGUACCGACCUGAAUAAUGACUGAAAAGGUACAAGUACACAUUUCAGACUCUUUUCUAUAUUUGUAAGUCCUAAUAUGUCAUUGUACGGCAAAUUAACCAUGCUAACUUUAGAAGUGAUAAAGUGAAACGUUCUUCGUCAA
Long non-coding RNA from Lolium perenne, 1409 nucleotides. RefSeq lists it as uncharacterized. Lineage: Eukaryota; Viridiplantae; Streptophyta; Magnoliopsida; Poales; Poaceae. The record is from RefSeq and is a predicted model, not a curated record.